RNAcentral lists this ribosomal RNA (405 nucleotides) under Triticum aestivum (bread wheat). RNAcentral describes it as "partial small subunit ribosomal RNA". The record is from RNAcentral. Lineage: Eukaryota; Viridiplantae; Streptophyta; Magnoliopsida; Poales; Poaceae.
AUGGAGCAGCAGCAGGGAUGUGAGGAGAAAAGCAGCAGGGACAUGAGGAGAGAAGCAGCAGGAGGCAUGAGAAGAAGAAGCACCAGCAAAGAAAGAGGAGCAGCGAACAUUAGAGUUUGGGUUCAGAGAAGAAGAAGUGGCAGCAGCAACUUGAGGUUCAGAGCAGAGAAUCAGCAAAGGAUGCGCAAAGAGAAGGAGCAGCAGGGGCAUCAGGAAGAGAGGAUCGGCGGAGAGGGAGAGGUCACGCGGAGGACCAGACGCCCGUGCUCGCCCUUGUCUGGUCGGGCGCGCGAGGUGAGGCGGUGGCUUGAGAUGGUGGCGCUGGUGGAUGAAGUUGGUGGUGAGUGGUGGAUGUUUGUGGUGGGUGUGCUGAUGGUGCGGAGGCGCACCACCACGCCGGCCUAG